Long non-coding RNA from Papaver somniferum (opium poppy), 1719 nucleotides. RefSeq lists it as uncharacterized. The transcript is spliced from 3 exons. NCBI's taxonomy places the organism in Eukaryota, Viridiplantae, Streptophyta, Magnoliopsida, Ranunculales, Papaveraceae. The record is from RefSeq and is a predicted model, not a curated record.
UUCGAUCCCUACUCCUUCAAUGCCCUUAAUCAUUCCUUCGCCACGACGCCAUCAUCUCUACCGUAACCAGCAACAUCAACCACCGCUAGCACCACCAUCAAAUACCUAAUUCAUCUCUAUCCUAAUGAUUACUUACCAGCAACUUCAUUUACCGCCAGCACCACCAUCAAAUGCCGUUAUUACCAACCGGUAAGAACACCAAAACCAACAGCACCACCACUUCAGCCUCAAGCACCGUCACUACAAGCCUCAACAUUUGAUUCCCUAAUGGAGUUAAAUAUUACAGACAUUGAUAAAUUUCUUCACAAACAGUUUGUGAGCUUUAAGUGUUUGUGAAAAUGGCAGGCACCUUUAUUGGUGGAAUUGACAGGUUGUCUUUACAAUUUUUUAGGUUUCAUUCAUUUGUCUUUGUUAGAACUGAGGUAUGAGUGGUGGUUUGAGAUUGCAGCGUUACAAAGAACAAUGGAUUUCAUGAGAAUAUUAACAGUUAAUGCUACAAAGAAGUGGACAUUCUUGCUAAGGAACUGAUUGGGAUUUAUUGAGAGAAUAAAAGCAUGACCGGUGAUUCAGCUGGUAUGGGUUAGUGGCUUUGUACUGCGUACUCUUUCGAUCUUGAUUAAGUAAGUGGCAGUGGCAAAGCUAGGUCCUUAUGUUGGCUGUAUUGGGGAGUAUACGAACUAAGUUCUCGAGCAAUUGAACAGUGAAGAACGGAAGGUUAUAUCGUUGGUCAGUAUGGUUAUUUUCACGAGAUUAAAGAGGUCUACAUAAUUGUGUUUCCGGUAGUUGAGUGAGGAAAGGAUUUAAGUGCUAUGGUCGAAUACAGAUUAAAGAGAUUAAAUGUCGUCAUAUUGACCAGUAACAGAGAGAUCUCUGAAUACAAAUGCGCCCUACUUCAGAUAGGGCAAGACCAGAAAAUGAAAAUGAAAAACCACAGUUCCCUGAGAAGCAAACGAGAAUUUUCAAUGAAAGAUAGGUGAUGCAACUAAAAUGAUAUGUUUUACGGGUUUCGAAACGGAACAGCACUCGCAUCGCGCAUGCUUCUUUACUAGUUUAUAUAAAGAAUCUGGUAAUUUGCAGGUAUCCUUGAAACCUUGGCGCUGCAAAUGUCAUUCUAAUGGGAUUCCUAAUAUAUUUUCGUGCAUGGUAACACUCAAAAAUAUAAUCGAUUGCUUCUUUCUUUUUUCUCUCCAGCUGGUGUUGCUUCUUUUUUGCCCUCUGCUGCUACCGGAAUGUAAAUAGAAGAAAACUUUGCUUCGCUGGUGGCAGGGACAGAAGCGAGCAAGUAACGUGUACCUGGUGAUAGUAGUCUGUGAAUGUGAGAUGGUGAUAAAACUGAUAUUAGGUGGUAGCAGACCAACAAGCUACAAAUGAUGUAGGAGGUCUAACAACUGGUGGUGCGUAAGAACAAGUGAUUUUAUCAACGAUCCGUAAAUAUCUUGAUUUUUUCUGGGAGGUUUAUUCGUGACUAUUAUGCGAGAUUUGCAUCGUAAAAAGUGCACUCGACAAGUUGAAAGAGUAUUAGUUGUUCGGAUGAUCCGUUGUUAUAUGUUAUUGAGGUAUGUAAAACAAAAAGGAAAAAAUUCUUUGUGAAUUUUAUGAUGAUCGCUGAAUAUGAGUUUUGAUUAGUUUCUUCGCUGGACAAGAUUAGGAUUAUCAAUCAACUACUAAACAAUAGUCCAUAGGAGUCUUUAAGGUAGAGUUGUGUAGCAUAAUACGGUG